UAAGGAAUAUUGGUCAAUGGGCGCAAGCCUGAACCAGCCAUGCCGCGUGCAGGAAGAAGGUCUUACGGACUGUAAACUGCUUUUAUACGGGAAGAAAUCGUUCUUGCGAGAACAGUUGACAUUACCGUAUGAAUAAGCGCUGGCUAACUCCGUGCCAGCAGCCGCGGUAAUACGGAGAGCGCAAGCGUUGUCCGGAUUUAUUGGGUUUAAGGGGUACGUAGGCGGACAUUUAAGUUAGUAGUGAAAGCCUCCGGCUUAACCGGAGACGUGCUAUUAAUACUGAAUGUCUUGAGUACAGUAGAGGCAGGCGGAAUUUAUGAUGUAGCGGUGAAAUGCAUAGAUAUCAUAAAGAACUCCGAUAGCGAAGGCAGUUUGCUAGACUGAUACUGACGCUGAGGUACGAAAGCGUGGGGAGCGAACAGG
This 423-nucleotide ribosomal RNA is filed under the name uncultured Cytophagales bacterium. Its description in RNAcentral is "bacterial SSU rRNA". It matches the Rfam family "Bacterial small subunit ribosomal RNA", at positions 355 to 776 of the family's 1533-position model. Lineage: Bacteria; Pseudomonadati; Bacteroidota; Sphingobacteriia; Sphingobacteriales. The record is from RNAcentral.